CAUUCACGGAGAGUUUGAUCCUGGCUCAGGACGAACGCUGGCGGCGUGCUUAACACAUGCAAGUCGAACGAU
This 72-nucleotide ribosomal RNA is filed under the name Streptomyces griseorubiginosus. RNAcentral describes it as "partial 16S ribosomal RNA". It matches the Rfam family "Bacterial small subunit ribosomal RNA", at positions 1 to 70 of the family's 1533-position model. RNAcentral also lists the same sequence under 4 other names. Lineage: Bacteria; Bacillati; Actinomycetota; Actinomycetes; Kitasatosporales; Streptomycetaceae. The record is from RNAcentral.